GAAACAGUGUUACUAAAUUUUUUACCCCAAUAAAACAGACAAGUAAUUUCUGACCCCAAUAAAACUCUUUAAAGGAAGUUUAAAGGUACUUACGAUGUUUUGUUUUGCUGCAGGCAGGAUAAGAUAUCCUUCAGCUUGUAUCUUGCUUGAUAAACGUUUUGGUCCAGCAUCCAUCUUCUUGUUCUUUUCUCUUCAGCACUCAUCAUCGAGUAACCGUCAACCACUAUUCCUUGGCUGUCCUACUUGUCAUAGUUUUCCCUCUAUUCCUCAGGGUCCAAGCCUUGGCUGAGAGGGUAUUUGGUGAAAUCAUAUACGCGUUUGAUGAACACCAUAAUGUGCUUCACCUGUUGGUUCCAAGACACAAGUAAAUUAAAACUCAAACAAACUAAGAGAACAAGCAACAAACAAAAAACAGGGUAAGAAGUUUACUGCUUCUUACCCUAAUAAAUCAGUUACAACUCACCACUGCCUUUGCAUUCUGAAAGUGGUUGUUGGUGUUGGCAGAGUAAUCUUUCAUUGGCGGUAGCAUUGAGUUCAGGUGAUAGAAGCAUCGAGCUUCAUUGUCAAUCAGGACCAAGGUAUAGUGGUGGCUAACCCCGUGAUGUACCGGAAUGAAAACCAGGUCCUUACUGAAGAUGGACCACAGAGGAUUAAUAAUAGAAAGCUCUCACUACCAGGACAAGUACUUUAGCCGACGAAAUAUUUUCGUCGGCUUGUUAUCCUAAUUCGUCGGCUAAGACCUUAGCCGACGAAGGCUCGUCGGUGAUGGCUUUAGCCGACGAAUCUAAAGACCAUCGUCGGCUAUUGUCCAUACUUUAGCCGACGAACUAUUUUUCGUCGGCUAUUGUUCCAGCUUUUAGCCGACGAACUAUUUUUCGUCGGCUAUUGUUCCAGACUUUAGCCGACGACGUCCUGUGUCGUCGGCUAUACUCUCAGACUUAACCCGACGAACAGAAUAUUCGUCGGCUUUACUGACAAACUUUAGCCGACGAAUAUCUCUGUUUCGUCGGCUAAAGUAUAUAAUUAAAAUAUUUAAAAAUAACUAUAGCCGACGACAUAGAUUCUGUUUCGUCGGCUUUAGUAGUGUUUAGCCGACGAAACUUACCAUAAUUCGUCGGCUAAACCCUUUGGAAAAAAAAAUUACUAUAGCCGACGAAUUGUG
RNAcentral lists this long non-coding RNA (1162 nucleotides) under Fragaria vesca (wild strawberry). RNAcentral's name for it is "long non-coding RNA (FVES_LNC005179)". Lineage: Eukaryota; Viridiplantae; Streptophyta; Magnoliopsida; Rosales; Rosaceae. The record is from RNAcentral.